GCUUAUGGCCACACCGCCUGGUAUACGCUUUGAUCUCGGAAGAUAAGGUAGGUUGGGCCUGGUUAGUACUUGGAUGGGAGACCGCCUGGGAAUACCAGGUGCUGUAAGCU
RNAcentral lists this ribosomal RNA (110 nucleotides) under Scophthalmus maximus (turbot). The record is from RNAcentral. Lineage: Eukaryota; Metazoa; Chordata; Actinopteri; Pleuronectiformes; Scophthalmidae.